This 465-nucleotide ribosomal RNA is filed under the name uncultured bacterium. Its description in RNAcentral is "partial 16S ribosomal RNA". It matches the Rfam family "Bacterial small subunit ribosomal RNA", at positions 28 to 507 of the family's 1533-position model. The record is from RNAcentral.
GACGAACGCUGGCGGCGUGCUUAACACAUGCAAGUCGAACGGAAAGGCCCUGCUUGCAGGGUACUCGAGUGGCGAACGGGUGAGUAACACGUGGGUGAUCUGCCCUGCACUUCGGGAUAAGCCUGGGAAACUGGGUCUAAUACCGGAUAGGAGCCAUUUUUAGUGUGAUGGUUGGAAAGUUUUUUCGGUGUAGGAUGAGCUCGCGGCCUAUCAGCUUGUUGGUGGGGUAAUGGCCUACCAAGGCGGCGACGGGUAGCCGGCCUGAGAGGGUGGACGGCCACAUUGGGACUGAGAUACGGCCCAGACUCCUACGGGAGGCAGCAGUGGGGAAUAUUGCACAAUGGGCGCAAGCCUGAUGCAGCGACGCCGCGUGGGGGAUGACGGCCUUCGGGUUGUAAACUCCUUUCGCUAGGGACGAAGCUUUUUGUGACGGUACCUAGAUAAGAAGCACCGGCUAACUUCGUG